CAGAAGUCAGGUUUGCUUGAGAAUCAAGCCCUAGGAAUUGUGACGUUGCAGUCAAUGUGGAGAGCCCAUCAUUUGGGUCAAGGUGCAAAACCCUAAUUCUAUGUACUUGAGACCUUGGAGACUACUUCAUGGUGUUUAUUCAUGCUCAAACCCUAGUUUUUGGUCUUUGAGGUUCAUGAAUCAUGUGACUUGCAUUAAGGUGUUGGAAACCCUAUUUUUGGUUCAUGUCAUUGGUGGAGCACUUGUGUUGAAGCCUCAAUUCUUGGUUUGAGGUUCUUAAUUAUUACUUUGCAUCUUGAUCUUGAUCUAGCUAAAAUCCUAAUUCAUGGUUUAAGAUAUCUGAUCAUUGUGGUUUGGAUCAUGCCAUUCUUGUUUAUUUGUGGAUCAUGGCUUGUGGUAUGUCUACUUAUUUGAUGUUCAUUUGAUCCAAGGUCUUAUUUCAUUCAUAUUUUCAUGGUCUCAUCAAUGCAUCACUAAUCCAUGGUCUCAUGUUUCAUUAGUGUUCUUAUUGAUUCAAGUUUUUCAUGCUUCAUUCAUGAUCCAUUGAUUUCUAUUUCAUUCAUUUAUUCAAGUAUGUUUUAGGGUGCAUUAAGGAUCUUUGGUUCAAAGUGAUUUCAAAUUGAAACUUGGAGGGGAAAUGGCAAUUUGAAUGAAAAUCAUAUUACAUUGAUCAUAAGCAUUUUCUCAUGUAUAAAACCUUUGUUUUAUUCGUGCAUAGCAUGGUAAAAUGUCCAUACAUGUUCAUACAAAAGAAAUUUUAAAAAAUACAAUUUUUGCAUAAGUUGAAUUUUGGUCAACUAUUGACUUUUUGGUCAACUAGUUGACCAAAGUCAACUAAUCUAUUUUACAUCUCCUAAACACUAAUCCCUUUUCACCAAGUCAUCCUUUUCCACUUGAUUUUUUCCAUUUUCCAAUGUUACUUCAAGUACAAGCAAGUGAAUGUCAUGGCCUUGUUACAUUUUUACUUCAUGAAAGCAACUCUACAAAACCAUUAAAGCAAAGCAUCAUGCAUUAUUAGCAAUCCAUCAUUUACAUUACAUGAUAACCAUUUCCAAAGCAAAACCUAUCCCUACUUAACAAACAUUCCAUUUCCAAACACCUAGCAUUAACAUUCAUUUACUAAUCAUGCCAACCAAUCUAAACCAAUUCUAGCAACCACACAUUUCCAGACAUACUUAAUUGCCCAUGACAACAAGCACUCAUAGCAAGCCAAAUUCCAAAGCAUUCACAAGCAUAUAACCAUACAUUAUCAUGUAGCAGACCACACUUUUUUUCAUUACAAAUCACGAUUACAAGCAAAGCAUCAUCGCUAACAGCCCUGUCAUAUUUCACAGCCAAAACUAACCAUUUAACAUGCUAACUACUGACAUCAUAUGCGAUCAUUUUCACAACAUUAGCAUCACACCAUGUCCAUUUAACAUUCAAGCAUAACAAUGCAUCACAUCCAUAUCCUACAACACUAGCUAGCAGCAGCUGAACCAACAAUUCAUUGCAAUUCAUAUCAUUCAUCAAAACACUAACAGUUAACAAUUACACACAUGCAUAGUAGUCCAUAUUUCAAUGCACGUGGUAGGGUAUUUCAAUGCACACACCAAGAUCAUCAACAACAGGAAAAUCAUUCAUCAUCACAAACAUCCAAGCAACUAUUCACAUACGCAUAAUAACAGUUCAUUUCACAAAACCAAGCAAGGCAUUAACCUAGCAUAACAACACUUACAACUAACAUCAAUUAACAUUUCCAUCUAACAUAUAAUUCGAGUAUAACAGACUAAGAAUUAACUUAACAACUAACCUACAAUCUAACAGAAAAUCAAGUUUCAUUUCACUAUUAACUGAAUCAGCUUAACAUUAAACGAAAUUUAACUUCCAUUUAACUUCUAACAGAAAAUUGAAUUUAACAUUUCACUUUCAAUCCCCUAACUAACUCUCAUUUCCCAACUAAUUUUCGCUCUAACUAACUAACAUAGUUAGUUAACUGACAACAAACCUUGAGUCAAUUCCAAUAACCUGAACUGAUAGAGACUCUUCAUCCUUCACCUCAAUUCACACAUUCACUCAGAUUCUCAUCUUCAUAAUCCUUCAAUCUUCACACACACUCUCUCUCUCUCUCUCACGAAUUCACACACACUCACACAAGAUUCAAACUCAAUCUCAGAACAAAGAAAAAGAAGAGGAAGAGAAUCACGAGCUGAAGAAGAAGAGGAUUCAGAGAGAAGAAAGGUUCAGAAGAGAUACCUGAAAUUCUGGUGACCUUUGCGUCUUCUCCACCGGUAAGUUCUCGAUUUCCUUAGCCAUUUGAUUCAUGCUUGUUACCGGGAUGUAGAUCUGAGCUAGGGGAAUCAAAGCCCUAACCCCUAGGACUCUGAUUCCAGAGGACUGUGAUUUAAUUUCUCAUUUUGUUUCUAGGGUUCAUGUACAAUCUGUUGCGAUUCGUUUAACUGGUGAAUAAUUGUUAGAAAUGGAUAUGGGAUACGGACUUAGGGCAACGAUAGGAAGAAGAUGACAUAGUUUUUUGGUGGUUUAGGGCUCCGCCGACGGCGUCGGUGGAGGAGACUUUCAGGUGAGGAGGGAAUUUGAGUUUGAACAUUGUUUGGCCAUGUGAAAAACAUGGAUGGCACGUGAUUGUUGCUUCUGAAUUUCACUUCCUUCGUUGUGCAUUGGGCUUCAUGCUUCCCAGGCCCAAUUUCUGAUUUUUACACCCUACUAUGCAAGCAUGCUCCCCUGUUUCAUGAGCUUAAACUAGAAUGGGCUUGCCAUG
RNAcentral lists this long non-coding RNA (2758 nucleotides) under Lathyrus oleraceus (garden pea). Its description in RNAcentral is "Pisum sativum (pea) long non-coding RNA (PSAT_LNC003592)". The record is from RNAcentral. Lineage: Eukaryota; Viridiplantae; Streptophyta; Magnoliopsida; Fabales; Fabaceae.